Molecule: ribosomal RNA, 402 nt
Filed under: uncultured bacterium
Lineage: Bacteria
Description: bacterial SSU rRNA
Rfam family: Bacterial small subunit ribosomal RNA
Source: RNAcentral
GAAUAUUGCACAAUGGAGGAAACUCUGAUGCAGCGACGCCGCGUGAGUGAUGAAGGCCCUCGGGUUGUAAAGCUCUGUUCUUAGGGAAUAAAAAAAUGAAGGUACCUAAGGAGAAAGGACCGGCUAACUUCGUGCCAGCAGCCGCGGUAAGACGAGGGGUCCAAGCGUUGUUCGGAAUCAUUGGGCGUAAAGCGGGUGUAGGCGGCCUUGCAAGUCAGAAGUGAAAGCCCUGGGCUCAACCCAGGAAGUGCUUUUGAAACUGCAGGGCUUGAGUGUGGGAGAGGAUAGUGGAAUUCCAGGUGUAGUGGUGAAAUACGUAGAGAUCUGGAGGAACACCGGUGGCGAAGGCGGCUAUCUGGCCCAACACUGACGCUCAGACCCGAAAGCGUGGGGAUCAAACAG